This 245-nucleotide ribosomal RNA is filed under the name uncultured bacterium. RNAcentral describes it as "partial 16S ribosomal RNA". It matches the Rfam family "Bacterial small subunit ribosomal RNA", at positions 530 to 774 of the family's 1533-position model. The record is from RNAcentral.
GGGUGCGAGCGAUAAUCGGAAUUACUGGGCGUAAAGCGUGCGCAGGCGGUUUUGUAAGACAGAUGUGAAAUCCCCGGGCUUAACCUGGGAACUGCGUUUGUGACUGCAAGGCUGGAGUACGGCAGAGGGGGGUGGAAUUCCACGUGUAGCAGUGAAAUGCGUAGAGAUGUGGAGGAACACCGAUGGCGAAGGCAGCCCCCUGGGCCUGUACUGACGCUCAUGCACGAAAGCGUGGGGAGCAAACA